GGUGGGGUUCCCGAGUGGCCAAAGGGAACAGACUGUAAAUCUGUCGUCGAACGACUUCGGAGGUUCAAAUCCUCCCCCCACCACCA
Molecule: transfer RNA, 86 nt
Filed under: Pseudomonadota bacterium
Lineage: Bacteria; Pseudomonadati; Pseudomonadota
Also listed under: 1 other name
Description: tRNA-Tyr
Rfam family: tRNA
About the family: Transfer RNA (tRNA) molecules are approximately 80 nucleotides in length. Their secondary structure includes four short double-helical elements and three loops (D, anti-codon, and T loops). Further hydrogen bonds mediate the characteristic L-shaped molecular structure. tRNAs have two regions of fundamental functional importance: the anti-codon, which is responsible for specific mRNA codon recognition, and the 3' end, to which the tRNAs corresponding amino acid is attached (by aminoacyl-tRNA synthetases). tRNAs cope with the degeneracy of the genetic code in two manners: having more than one tRNA (with a specific anti-codon) for a particular amino acid; and 'wobble' base-pairing, i.e. permitting non-standard base-pairing at the 3rd anti-codon position.
Source: RNAcentral